RNAcentral lists this ribosomal RNA (440 nucleotides) under uncultured bacterium. Its description in RNAcentral is "partial 16S ribosomal RNA". It matches the Rfam family "Bacterial small subunit ribosomal RNA", at positions 338 to 795 of the family's 1533-position model. The record is from RNAcentral.
CCUACGGGUGGCAGCAGUAGGGAAUAUUGCUCAAUGGCGGAAACCCUGAAGCAGCAACGCAGCGUGGAGGAUGAAGGUCUUCGGAUUGUAAACUCCUUUUGUUAGAGAAGAUAAUGACGGUAUCUAAGGAAUAAGCAACGGAUAACUCCGUGCCAGCAGCCGCGGUAAUACGGAGGGUGCAAGCGUUAUUCGGAAUGACUGGGCGUAAAGAGCGCGUAGGCGGGACAGCAGGCCAGACGUGAAGUCUUAUGGCUUAACCAUAGAAGUGAUUUGGCAACUGUUAUUCUAGAGUGUGGGAGAGGUAGGUGGAAUUCUUGGUGUAGGGGUAAAAUCCGUAGAGAUCAAGAGGAAUACUGAUUGCGAAGGCGACCUGCUAGAACAUAACUGACGCUGAUGCGCGAAAGCGUGGGGAGCAAACAGGAGUAGAUACCCCGGUAGUC